This 2055-nucleotide ribosomal RNA is filed under the name Nothoacremonium exiguum. RNAcentral's name for it is "bacterial SSU rRNA". It matches the Rfam family "Eukaryotic small subunit ribosomal RNA". The record is from RNAcentral. Lineage: Eukaryota; Fungi; Ascomycota; Sordariomycetes; Hypocreales; Nothoacremoniaceae.
UGGAAGUUCAUAUGCUUGUCUCAAAGAUUAAGCCAUGCAUGUCUAAGUAUAAGCAAUUAUACCGCGAAACUGCGAAUGGCUCAUUAUAUAAGUUAUCGUUUAUUUGAUAGUACCUUACUACUUGGAUAACCGUGGUAAUUCUAGAGCUAAUACAUGCUAAAAAUCCCGACUUUGGAAGGGAUGUAUUUAUUAGAUUAAAAGCCAAUGCCCUUCGGGGCUCACUGGUGAUUCAUGAUAACUUCUCGAAUCGCAUGGCCUUGCGCCGGCGAUGGUUCAUUCAAAUUUCUUCCCUAUCAACUUUCGAUGUUUGGGUAUUGGCCAAACAUGGUUGCAACGGGUAACGGAGGGUUAGGGCUCGACCCCGGAGAAGGAGCCUGAGAAACGGCUACUACAUCUAAGGAAGGCAGCAGGCGCGCAAAUUACCCAAUCCCAACUCGGGGAGGUAGUGACGAUAAAUACUGAUACAGGGCUCUUUAGGGUCUUGUAAUUGGAAUGAGUACAAUUUAAAUCCCUUAACGAGGAACAAUUGGAGGGCAAGUCUGGUGCCAGCAGCCGCGGUAAUUCCAGCUCCAAUAGCGUAUAUUAAAGUUGUUGUGGUUAAAAAGCUCGUAGUUGAACCUUGGGCCUGGCUGGCCGGUCCGCCUCACCGCGUGCACUGGUCCGGCCGGGCCUUUCCCUCUGUGGAACCCCAUGCCCUUCACUGGGUGUGGCGGGGAAACAGGACUUUUACUUUGAAAAAAUUAGAGUGCUCAAGGCAGGCCUAUGCUCGAAUACAUUAGCAUGGAAUAAUGGAAUAGGACGUGUGGUUCUAUUUUGUUGGUUUCUAGGACCGCCGUAAUGAUUAAUAGGGACAGUCGGGGGCAUCAGUAUUCAAUUGUCAGAGGUGAAAUUCUUGGAUUUAUUGAAGACUAACUACUGCGAAAGCAUUUGUCAAGGAUGUUUUCAUUAAUCAGGAACGAAAGUUAGGGGAUCGAAAACGAUCAGAUACCGUUGUAGUCUUAACCAUAAACUAUGCCGACUAGGGAUCGGACGAUGCUAUCAUUUGGCUCGUUCGGCACCUUACGAGAAAUCAAAGUGCUUGGGCUCCAGGGGGAGUAUGGUCGCAAGGCUGAAACUUAAAGAAAUUUGACGUUUAUAUACUAAAGCAGCCGGGUAAACCGGUCAGGUGGAAGGUCCUUGGCCGGAUGGCCGAACGAUGCUAGUCGCCCGAUCGCGGGCGGCGACAACCCCAAAUUGCGGGGAGUCCCUAAAGCCAACUGAGACCAAGCGGGCGUCCGAAAGGCGUCCGUGGCCGAGCUAGCAGCCCUGGGUAUGGUAAAACUGCAGUUGGAUGAUACAAUGGGUGAUCCGCAGCCAAGCCCCUAACCGGCACACGCCGCAAGGGGAAGGUUCAGAGACUUGACGGGGUCGGGUCUGCGCGAGCAGGCUUAAGAUAAAGUCCGUCCGGCGUGUGAAAGCACGGCCGGAACCCGAAAACGNNNNNNNNNNNNNNNNNNNNNNNGGAGCCUGCGGCUUAAUUUGACUCAACACGGGGAAACUCACCAGGUCCAACACAAUGACGAUUGACAGAUUGAGAGCUCUUUCUUGAUUUUGUGGGUGGUGGUGCAUGGCCGUUCUUAGUUGGUGGAGUGAUUUUGUCUGCUUAAUUGCGAUAACGAACGAGACCUUAACCUGCUAAAUAGCCGUAUUGCUUGGCAGUACGGUGGGUUGUUAGAGGCAGGAUUGGAUUAAUCCGAUGGAAGUUUAGGCAAUAAAAGGUCUGUGAUGCCCUUAGAUGUUCUGGGCCGCACGCGCGCUACACUGAUGGAGUCAGCGAGUACUUCCUUGACCGAAAGGUCCGGGUAAUCUUGUUAAACUCCAUCGUGCUGGGGAUAGAGCAUUGCAAUUAUUGCUCUUCAACGAGGAAUCCCUAGUAAGCGCAAGUCAUCAGCUUGCGUUGAUUACGUCCCUGCCCUUUGUACACACCGCCCGUCGCUACUACCGAUUGAAUGGCUCAGUGAGGCGUUCGGACUGGCCCAGGGUAGGUGGGCAACUACCACCCCGGGCCGGAAAGUU